RNAcentral lists this ribosomal RNA (1049 nucleotides) under uncultured bacterium. RNAcentral's name for it is "bacterial SSU rRNA". It matches the Rfam family "Bacterial small subunit ribosomal RNA", at positions 8 to 1020 of the family's 1533-position model. The record is from RNAcentral.
AGAGUUUGAUCCUGGCUCANAUUGAACGCUGGCGGCGUGCUUAACACAUGCAAGUCGAACGUGAAAGUCCUUCGGGACGAGUAAAGUGGCGCACGGGUGAGUAACGCGUGGAUAAUCUACCCUUAAGAUGGGGAUAACGGCUGGAAACGGUCGCUAAUACCGAANACGCUCCCGAUUUUAUCGUUGGGGGGAAAGAUGGCCUCUGCUUGCAAGCUAUCGCUUAAGGAUGAGUCCGCGUCCCAUUAGCUAGUUGGCGGGGUAACGGCCCACCAAGGCGACNAUGGGUAGCCGGUCUGAGAGGAUGACCGGCCACACUGGAACUGGAACACGGUCCAGACUCCUACGGGAGGCAGCAGUGGGGGAUAUUGCGCAAUGGGCGAAAGCCUGACGCANCGACGCCNCGUGAGGGAUGAAGGUUCUCGGAUCGUAAACCUCUGUCAGGGGGGAAGAAACCCCCUCGUGUGAAUAAUGCGAGGGCUUGACGGUACCCCCAAAGGAAGCACCGGCUAACUCCGUGCCAGCAGCCGCGGUAAUACGGAGGGUGCAAGCGUUAAUCGGAAUCACUGGGCGUAAAGCGCACGUAGGCGGCUUGGUAAGUCAGGGGUGAAAUCCCACAGCCCAACUGUGGAACUGCCUUUGAUACUGCCAGGCUUGAGUACCGGANAGGGUGGCGGAAUUCCNGGUGUANGAGUGAAAUCCGUANAUAUCUGGAGGAACACCGGUGGCGAAUGCGGCCACCUGGACGGUAACUGACGCUGACGUGCGAAAGCGUGAGUAGAAACGGGAUUAGAUACCCUGGUAGUCCACGCUGUAAACGAUGGGGUGCUGGGUGCUGGUGAUGUAUGUCUCGGUGCUCCUAUCUAACGCGAUAAGUAGCUCCGACAUGGGGAGUACGGUCGCACCCGCUGAAAGUCAUAUUACAUUGACUUGGGACCGCACUAUGCGGGUAGUAGUUAUGCUGGAUUUGAUUACAAUGUCGACGCCGAAUGUAACUUAACCUAUGACUGGACAUCUAAAGCAAACCCAUUCAGGAGACUGAACGGUUUGCC